UUGGUUUAAAUUAUUGUGCGCCUACACUUUCAAAAUUGAACUUACACAAAGUGGUGGGACAUAUUUUAAUUUCUUCCAA
RNAcentral lists this microRNA precursor (79 nucleotides) under Medicago truncatula (barrel medic). Its description in RNAcentral is "MIR5269 microRNA precursor family". It matches the Rfam family "MIR5269 microRNA precursor family". The record is from Rfam by way of RNAcentral. Lineage: Eukaryota; Viridiplantae; Streptophyta; Magnoliopsida; Fabales; Fabaceae.